RNAcentral lists this ribosomal RNA (136 nucleotides) under Alexandrium affine. RNAcentral describes it as "partial 5.8S ribosomal RNA". It matches the Rfam family "5.8S ribosomal RNA", at positions 1 to 132 of the family's 154-position model. From Rfam's summary of the family: 5.8S ribosomal RNA (5.8S rRNA) is a component of the large subunit of the eukaryotic ribosome. Lineage: Eukaryota; Dinophyceae; Gonyaulacales; Pyrocystaceae. The record is from RNAcentral.
UAAUAUGUUUUGCAAAGAAUGUCUUAACUCAAUAGUUGAUGAAGAAUGCAGCAAAAUGCAUUAUGCAUUGUGAAUUGCAGAAUUCCGUGAGCCAAUUGAUGUUUGAAUGUUACUUGAACCUUCAGGAUAUGCUUGA